This 235-nucleotide ribosomal RNA is filed under the name uncultured bacterium. RNAcentral describes it as "partial 16S ribosomal RNA". It matches the Rfam family "Bacterial small subunit ribosomal RNA", at positions 118 to 351 of the family's 1533-position model. The record is from RNAcentral.
UGGGUAACCUGCCUUAGUGAGGGGGAUAGCCUUCCGAAAGGAAGAUUAAUACCGCAUAAAAUUAUUUCUUCGCAUGGAGAGAUAAUCAAAGGAGUGAUCCGCACUAAGAUGGACCCGCGGCGCAUUAGCUAGUUGGUGAGGUAACGGCUUACCAAGGCGACGAUGCGUAGCCGGCCUGAGAGGGUGAACGGCCACAUUGGAACUGAGACACGGUCCAAACUCCUACGGGAGGCAG